CUCAAUCACAAACCCGUUAAGACCUUCACUCAUCUUCAGAGCGCAAAUUAAGAUAUUUUUGGUGAAAUCUGAGAGCUCUUUGGCCCUGAACAGACAGCAACACAAUUGAAAUGUUAAACGGUCCGCGUGACAUCAGUGGCGAAGCAACGAAAAUACUUUUGAUGCUCGAAGAAAACAAAAAUGUAUGCAUCUCCGAGUUUCGCCAUUUUGGAUCAAGCGCAACUUAAUCAACGUAAUGAGCGUUGUUUAUGUUCCGGGGAACGCGCGCGCGAAUCUCGGUGCUCUCCAAACGUUUCUGGAGGACGUUUCAGUUGUGUUGCGGGGUCAGAGAGCUCUCAGAUGUCAUCAAAAAUAUCUUAACGCGUGUCUUGCCGGUACGGGACUCGAUUAGGUACUGAUUGUUCAGGUCUUUUGGGACUCUCGGUCUGGGUACAAAAUAUUCUCAAUGAAGCCCGUGGCAGACACUUUUGGCCCGUCCCUCCUGUAAUGACUGCUGUUUCCGGAUGCUUAGUAACACACAGUCUCCAGGGUCUCCUCUCGCCGUCUCAGGAGAUUAAUGAUCUCCUCGUGUGUCCUGUGGACUCUCUUCUGUCCAGCUUCCCUCCUACUUGUGUGAUUCUCAGGCUCUGUACGUCAGCACAGUGAUCAUCCGCUUCUCCAUGAGAGCCAUCUGCUCACACACAUGGAGCCGCCGCUUUACCCAUCACACCCAAACACAGUCUCUUGAGUCCCAUG
Molecule: long non-coding RNA, 735 nt
Organism: Puntigrus tetrazona (Sumatra barb)
Lineage: Eukaryota; Metazoa; Chordata; Actinopteri; Cypriniformes; Cyprinidae
Exons: 3
Source: RefSeq, a predicted model, not a curated record